GGUAACUGCGUGACUGGUUCCUAGAUAAACUCUUGUUAUUUGGCGAAUUAUCGCCGUCAGCGAAUGAAAGAAACGAAACACUCAAGGGAAAUAUGAAAUGACUGUGUAUCCGGCAACAUCAGCUACGGCCUCGAUAUAAUAACUGUCCUCCCAGAGAGCACAAGGACGGUGUUCUGUUUUUAUGCUGCACUCCUCUCUACAAGAAAACGUUAAAUGUGUGUAGAUCGACGUGGUUUCAAUGAGUGAAGAAUGAGGUCAUCUCAGGGAAGUAUACCGACAGGGAUGAUAUUCGUCACUACGUCUAACAAAUUGCUUGGGACGUUUAGAAUUGUGAAUCGUGAUGCUAGUGGUCAGUGAAUAGAGGCGAACUAGCGUGAAACAUCAGCAUUAAUUACCAAGAAGCGGGUCUGAAACUGUACGUAUUCCUCAAAUCAGCGUCUGUAUAAACUAGUACAUUGAACAACAGACCCCUGUGUUCACGGCAUUUUUUAAGCUCUGUAUGAGGAGAUCGGUUAACCAUUGGUACCAAUCUUGCACCUUCAUGGUUCUCAUACAUUAUCCUUAAUGUUCAUACAAUCAUUUGAAGUUCUUUUCACUUUCCUUCCACCAUCUUACAUUCAAUCAAAAGCCAGCCGCUUCGUAACCGGGAGGUCGUGAGUUCGAACUCCGCUCAUGCCAUAGCCACGUCAAACCUAAGACGUUGAAAUAGGUAGUAAUUACGCCUUCGCCAAACGCUCGGUAUUUACAAGUGAGAAUCGCGGGUUUUUCAGAUAUGACCUUAAAAACCUGUUACGGCCCUGAACACGCCAACUAUACAUAUGUAGGUCUAAAUUCGUGGUAGUUCACCUAUAGCUGGUGACGUCAGUGAAAAAUUCUCGACUAGACGUCAAACAAACAAACAAAGAAACAGUACAUCACUGUUGGACUCGUGUGUUUGGUCCCGGCCGAAUACAAGAAGUUUUCUGCCAAAAUACAGAAUGUCUGACGUUGUGUUCGGUUAUAUGCUUAGAAGGAUCCAAAAAAGGUUCCAUUGAUGAUAUUAAAUCUAAUUCAACGUUAUUUAUUGAUAAAACUUUAAAUAUUACGGAUUGCGAUACGUUGCCAGUUUGACGUUGUUUCCAUUUUAAGGGGGAAAGAAAUUUUGACGACGUAAAAAGAUACAGAUAUUCUUUUUUCAAAAAUGGAUCUAUUCAAUAUAUGGAGAUCUUGUUGAUUGAUUUCACUAUUACAACAUUGUUCGUGGGAAGAAGAUUUAGAAAUUGUUUUCCAUGUGAAAAUUAAACCUAUACCGUGGCUUCCUACUGGCUGCAAGGUGUACGAGGUGAACAAUGCCGAAUUGCUACUAUAGGAGGACGCUUAUACAACAUUUCACAAAGGUAGACUUAUUCUUAAAAAGAAGUUUCUUUUUUAGGAAUUUUCUCACCAAUCAGUGCUAUUUAAGUCUGCGCUUUCUCCUCGGGUAAAAUGAUGCAGUGAAUUCGAAAACAACUUUAGAUACUAUUAGAUAAAUUAAUUAGAUAAUACACAAUAUAUAGUUCUGAAGACGGUUUUCAAAUGUUUCCAUAUCAUUCUUGCUAUAUUUACUGUAUUUUUGACAUAUUUCAAUUUUUACAAAUAAAAUCUGUAACAUGACACCUAUUGCAGAAAAUCUGCAAAUAAUAAAAAUUAUCUGUAAAAUGAAAUAUAUUCACUCAGAAAAGAUGGUACUAGUAUUCAUAAAGGGGGUGUAACCGUGUUGAUUGAAAUGGAAUUCUUGUGAUUAUGAACAAAACAAAAAUACAUUCACAUAUAUACAUACAUUGAAUUAAUGUCGGUCACUUGAAUAUUCUGUAUCAGAUAAACUAGAAUAACGAAAUAGCUUUUAUUAAACACCAAAUGGACUUUCAAAAUACUUACGAAAACAGAAAAUAACAGAAAAAGUAUUAUUAUUUUUAUUGGUAAUUAUAGAUAUAAUAUCUGAUAUCUUAAAGUGUCCAGACAAGAUCGUUUAAAGUUCUGGGCCUUUCUGGUCGGCAAAUUAAUUACGUGGCGUUCAUAAAAAAUGGUAUAUCCAAUCUCGCUUAAAAUCCAGAUAUGACUGAAAUAUCGCCCGCCUCGUAUAAAACCACAUAUGGCUAGAUAAGCAAGUCCACUCGCAAAUUUUGUCAGUUCUUUUUAGAAUAAUGAUCUUUUUAAGCACAGAUCUUAAGAACGGGAAAUUUCAAUGCGGAGGAUGGUAGACACAAAACCAUAUUUGAUGGCAAAAUCACAGAAAAUGAGGGUGACUCGGGAGUUCAGAAGUCAUAUGUUUAAAACAGAGGCC
Ostrea edulis (European flat oyster) is the source of this 2302-nucleotide long non-coding RNA. RefSeq lists it as uncharacterized. NCBI's taxonomy places the organism in Eukaryota, Metazoa, Mollusca, Bivalvia, Ostreida, Ostreidae. The record is from RefSeq and is a predicted model, not a curated record. The transcript has 2 exons.